GAUGAAGAACGUAGCGAAAUGCGAUAAGUAGUGUGAAUUGCAGAAUUCCGUGAAUCAUCGAAUCUUUGAACGCACAUUGCGCCUUCUGGUAUUCCGGGGGGCAUGCCUGUCCGAGCGUCAUUACAACCCUCAAGCUCAGCUUGGUGUUGGGCCCCGCCGCCCCGGCGGGCCCUAAAGUCAGUGGCGGUGCCGUCCGGCUCCGAGCGUAGUAAUUCUUCUCGCUCUGGAGGUCCGGUCGUGUGCUCGCCAGCAACCCCCAAUUUUUUUCAGGUUGACCUCGGAUCAGGUAGGGAUACCCGCUGAACUUAAGCAUAUCAAUAAGCGGAGGA
This 329-nucleotide unclassified non-coding RNA is filed under the name soil metagenome. Its description in RNAcentral is "partial contains 5.8S ribosomal RNA, internal transcribed spacer 2, and large subunit ribosomal RNA". The stretch from base 1 to 120 matches the Rfam family "5.8S ribosomal RNA", at positions 35 to 154 of the family's 154-position model. The record is from RNAcentral.